RNAcentral lists this ribosomal RNA (443 nucleotides) under uncultured bacterium. RNAcentral describes it as "bacterial SSU rRNA". It matches the Rfam family "Bacterial small subunit ribosomal RNA", at positions 958 to 1398 of the family's 1533-position model. The record is from RNAcentral.
AACGCGAAGAACCUUACCAGCCCUUGACAUCCCGGUCGCGGGUUCCAGAGAUGGGACCCAUCAGUUCGGCUGGACCGGUGACAGGUGCUGCAUGGCUGUCGUCAGCUCGUGUCGUGAGAUGUUGGGUUAAGUCCCGCAACGAGCGCAACCCUCGCCUCUAGUUGCCAGCAUUGAGUUGGGCACUCUAGAGGGACUGCCGGUGAUAAGCCGCGAGGAAGGUGGGGAUGACGUCAAGUCCUCAUGGCCCUUACGGGCUGGGCUACACACGUGCUACAAUGGCGGUGACAGUGGGACGCGGAGGGGUGACCCCGAGCAAAUCUCAAAAAGCCGUCUCAGUUCAGAUUGCACUCUGCAACUCGAGUGCAUGAAGGUGGAAUCGCUAGUAAUCGUAGAUCAGCAUGCUACGGUGAAUACGUUCCCGGGCCUUGUACACACCGCUCGUC